This 444-nucleotide ribosomal RNA is filed under the name uncultured bacterium. Its description in RNAcentral is "SSU rRNA". It matches the Rfam family "Bacterial small subunit ribosomal RNA", at positions 26 to 517 of the family's 1533-position model. The record is from RNAcentral.
AGAACGAACGCUGGCGGCAGGCCUAACACAUGCAAGUCGAACGCCCUAGCAAUAGGGAGUGGCGCACGGGUGAGUAACGCGUGGGAAUGUACCAUUUAGUGGGGGAUAACUUCGGGAAACUGAAGCUAAUACCGCAUACGCCCGAGAGGGGAAAGAUUUAUCGCUAAAUGAUCAGCCCGCGUGAGAUUAGAUAGUUGGUGGGGUAAUGGCCUACCAAGUCUACGAUCUCUAGCUGGUCUGAGAGGAUGAUCAGCCACACUGGAACUGAGACACGGUCCAGACUCCUACGGGAGGCAGCAGUGGGAAUAUUGGGCAAUGGACGCAAGUCUGACCCAGCCAUGCCGCGUGAGUGAUGAAGGCUCUAGGGUUGUAAAGCUCUUUCGCCGAUGAAGAUAAUGACGGUAGUCGGAGAAGAACGCCCCGGCUAACUCGCGCCAGCAGCCG